Long non-coding RNA from Salvelinus namaycush (lake trout), 566 nucleotides. RefSeq lists it as uncharacterized. The transcript is spliced from 3 exons. Lineage: Eukaryota; Metazoa; Chordata; Actinopteri; Salmoniformes; Salmonidae. The record is from RefSeq and is a predicted model, not a curated record.
UCUACUGUUUCACUUUGUUACACCUUUGGUGAGCAAAACAGCUAAUAACGUAGCUAAAUACUGACAUUAUCCUCAAUCGAGAUAUAUGUCCGUCGUUUCAGCUCCAACUGAACUUAAAGGUUCAUUUCAGACACACAUAUUCGUGGCCAUUCAGGAUGUAGUGUACUCAGACUGUCUAGCUCUAGCUAAUAACACAGCAUAGUAGGCUAUUGGUUGACAGACAGCCGCUAAUCAGAUCACAUCACCGCCAGAUAAUUAACUAAAGAUGCUGGAAAUGGAGGGACUCGGGCCGAAGAUGGACCCGGAAGAGAUGAAGAGGAAGAUGUGGUGUCUUCGGUCAGGAACUUUCUCCUCUAUGUCGCCCUACUCCGAGUCAAAGCUGGACAGCAUAUGAAUAGAAUCCAUCUUCUCUCACCCUCUACCCUCAAGACCUACAUCACACAAGAUGCUUCAGAAAAACAACAACUGUAACGAAUGUCGCCGGGAUAAGGAGAAGAGGACCAAGGUGCAGCGUGGAACAACCAUGACAACAACAACAAGCUGGUGAAGUUGCUACCCAACAGGAA